Molecule: ribosomal RNA, 700 nt
Filed under: uncultured prokaryote
Description: bacterial SSU rRNA
Rfam family: Bacterial small subunit ribosomal RNA
Source: RNAcentral
GAUGAACGCUGACAGAAUGCUUAACACAUGCAAGUCGAUUCAAUUUACCUUCGGGUAUUGAGGAUGGCGGACGGGUGAGUAACGCGUAAGGAACUUGCCUCUUGGUCUGGGACAACUGUUGGAAACGACAGCUAAUACCGGAUAUUAUGAGAUUCUCGCAUGAGAAACUUAUGAAAGCUAUAUGCGCCAAGAGAGAGCCUUGCGUUCCAUUAGCUAGUUGGUGGGGUAACGGCCCACCAAGGCGACGAUGGAUAGCCGGCCUGAGAGGGUGAACGGCCACAAGGGGACUGAGACACGGCCCUUACUCCUACGGGAGGCAGCAGUGGGGAAUAUUGGACAAUGGGCCACAAGCCUGAUCCAGCAAUUCUGUGUGCACGAUGAAGGUCUUCGGAUUGUAAAGUGCUUUCAGUUAGGAAGAAGAAAGUGACGGUACCAACAGAAGAAGCGACGGCUAAAUACGUGCCAGCAGCCGCGGUAAUACGUAUGUCGCAAGCGUUAUCCGGAUUUAUUGGGCGUAAAGCGCGUCUAGGCGGAAAAAUAAGUCUGAUGUUAAAAUGCGGGGCUCAACUCCGUANUGCGUUGGAAACUGUUUUUCUAGAGUACUGGAGAGGUGGGCGGAACUACAAGUGUAGAGGUGAAAUUCNUAGAUAUUUGUAGGAAUGCCGAUGGAGAAGUCANCUCACUGGACAGAUACUGACGC